Molecule: non-coding RNA, 24 nt
Filed under: Rattus norvegicus (Norway rat)
Lineage: Eukaryota; Metazoa; Chordata; Mammalia; Rodentia; Muridae
Source: RNAcentral
UUGGAGCUUGAGCAGGUCUCCUCC